Molecule: non-coding RNA, 57 nt
Organism: Bos taurus (domestic cattle)
Lineage: Eukaryota; Metazoa; Chordata; Mammalia; Artiodactyla; Bovidae
Source: Rfam
UAGCUCAGUUGGUAAAGAAUCUGCCUGUAAUGCAGGAGUCCCUGGUUCGAUUCCUGG